Molecule: ribosomal RNA, 402 nt
Filed under: uncultured bacterium
Lineage: Bacteria
Description: bacterial SSU rRNA
Rfam family: Bacterial small subunit ribosomal RNA
Source: RNAcentral
CCCUUAGAGUUUGAUCCUGGCUCAGAGUGAACGCUGGCGGCAGGCCUAACACAUGCAAGUCGAACGGCAGCACAGGGGAGCUUGCUCCCUGGGUGGCGAGUGGCGGACGGGUGAGGAAUACAUCGGAAUCUGCCCAAUCGUGGGGGAUAACGUAGGGAAACUUACGCUAAUACCGCAUACGACCUUCGGGUGAAAGCGUGGGACCGCAAGGCCACGCGCGAUUGGAUGAGCCGAUGUCGGAUUAGCUUGUUGGCGGGGUAAAGGCCCACCAAGGCGACGAUCCGUAGCUGGUCUGAGAGGAUGAUCAGCCACACUGGAACUGAGACACGGUCCAGACUCCUACGGGAGGCAGCAGUGGGGAAUAUUGGACAAUGGGCGCAAGCCUGAUCCAGCCAUGCCGCG